Long non-coding RNA from Gadus chalcogrammus (walleye pollock), 2447 nucleotides. RefSeq lists it as uncharacterized. The record is from RefSeq and is a predicted model, not a curated record. Lineage: Eukaryota; Metazoa; Chordata; Actinopteri; Gadiformes; Gadidae. The transcript has 2 exons.
UUUACUUUGCAUCGGCCUGUGUCAAUCGAGGUUGAGUUUAGGGAGUGUUGAAAGUUUUCGAUCUAGAUUGCAGAUCACUAUUGUCACUUUAUACAAACUGGAAGCAUGCGUUGUUGCGUGUUUGUUUUUGUGGGCAUUUGACUGAGCAGCCCAGACCAAUAUUGCUACCAGCAUGGCACUUCGAAACAGACCACCGCAGUGUUAGAUGACUGACUGACAAGAUCUAUGGGGGGGCCCCCUUUGGGCCCCCCCAUACCAACUUAGUCUUCAAAGGAAUCUAGUGCCAUGGGACUCCAGUGUCUUCAAAACAUCCUCGGAAUACAUGUGUAUGAAUGGUCCACCGAAGGGUUGAUCUGGAAGCCACCACGGUCCACGCAGUAAUAUGCUGCGUGGGCCGUAGUGGCUUCCAGAGCCAUCUUUCGGUCUUGGUCAGGAUUUGUUACAGUUGCCCUUCAAUGUAGCAGGCUACGGGUUUCUGAAGAAGCCUGCUUUACGUAGCAUUGGAGUACAAAUAUUGUGCAAAAUGCUCAUGUAAUUGCACUAGCACUAGUAACCUGUAGAUUAGCUUAGUUUAACGUCAUUCCGUGAUGUCUCUGUCAAAUGUGUGGCUUACUUUAAGUCCACAAGGCCCUCUGGUAAACCAUGUUGGAACACCCCUGGACAAGGUGAUUAGUCACUGGGUGUGUGCUAAAGUUUUGUUCCAUUUUUCACUAGUUGGUUAAGGUUUGGUAGAAUUGUUUGGAUGCUAGCGACGUGAUGGCGUAUGUACAAGAGCCUACCGUGGCCAGGCCACAGUUGCGACGGUCACGGCCAGAUGGCCUAGUGUGAGUGCAACCUUGAUUGCAUUUGUAUACUGUUUACCAUUGGAUGUUUAUGCAAUUUGGCUUAAUUCAUCCGCAGUAAAGCUGCAUUUGACUAUUCCAGGGUAUUGACUAGUUUGUGGGAAUUUUUUAUUUUUUUUUACCCUUGCUUACAAUCCACACCGGUUGUGACCACUUAUGCAACUGGGCUGUGAACCUUGUAAUUCUAGUUGCAUAUUUAUACACGCAAGCUUGUCCAUUUCUAUCGCUAUCACUAACACUAGCUUCAGCAUUUCCUUGUAGGCCAUUAGCUGACUUGUGUAUUGGAGCGAUGAUUUGGGUAUUUUAAGAUGCUUGAAAACCUAAAAUAAAGCAAAACGCGUGUCUGGUGUGCAAGAGCCAAUUUGUUGGCUUGCAGUAGUCGAGGAGUUGCCGUAGGUCGUAAGCCAUCUGGAGGUUGUGGCAAUGGAGGCUUGUGGUAGAUCUGCCAUCCAAGAAAGGUUAAUUCUUCUGAAGCAUGAUUCAUAUUUUAGUAAAUUGAAUCUAUUCAUAUAGAACAUUGGUUCUCAAAGUGCGGCCCGCGGGCCAAUGGCGGCCCGCGGAAUCAUUCCUGGCAGCCCUAGAUGACAUACAUAAUUAUGUAAGUUAGAUAAAAAAAAAAUAUAUUUUUUAUUAUUAUAUCAAUAUUAAUUUAAACAAAAAUAAAUGAAUAUAAAGAGAAAAGUCGACUCUCUCUAGCUUUCAAUUAAAUCCUUUUACAUUUGUUAGUUUUAAUCCGACUGUACAUUACUUUGAAAGGCUGAACCUCAGUUUCGUGAUUUAGACCUCACAUGACCUCACUCCCGGAGGUCCACGGUGCAAUGUUUUUCUUGACCACUGGGAUGCUGGCGGCGUUUCCUGCCAAUUAUUUUUUUCCUUUGGCGGCCCUCAGUCAAAUUAUGGGUUCCUAAAUUGGCCCUCAGUUGUCAAAACUUUGAGAACCCCUGAUAUAGAACUGAUAUAGAACCAGUCUUACUGGCUCCAAGACUGCAGCCAGUAACUUGGAUCGCAAUAUGUGGAAAGUAUUAGUCUUCAUUUGUAACAGAAUAAUUAACAUGACUAAUGCCGCUUUUCCACUGCAUGGUACCAGCUCGACACGACUCGACUCGACUCAGCUCGCCUUUUUUGCGUUUCCACCGCGAUCUAGUACCUCAAGUGGCUGCUUUUUCUAGUACCGCCUCGCUCUAGGUUCCAAGCGGCUGAGCCGAUGCUAAAAGGUGACGUCGGCAGACGGCCGGCCACUGAUUGGCCAGAGAGUGUGACGAAGUCACGAGAGCGACAUGGCAACCAUGCUGGUAACAGCCAUAGCAGCGCCGCAGCCAACAUAUUCCACUUCUUCAACAUGCCAGCUAAUAAUACGCACACGAAUAACAUCGCAUCGAUGUUCUCCAUUGUUGUUAUGUUGGUUCUGUCCAUGUGUAGGUUACGUAGGUGUUGUUUGCGUCGCGUACAAAAAUACGUCACAGCCCUUUCGCGCAGCCGACCCCGCCCACGUCCCGGAGGUACUAUUUGCGGUGGAAAAGCACCCGCGCUGCUACCGUGUCGAGUCGUGUCGUGUCGUGUCGUGUCGAGUCGAGCUACAUGUGCGGUGGAAAAGCGGCAUAACUG